This 322-nucleotide ribosomal RNA is filed under the name uncultured bacterium. RNAcentral describes it as "bacterial SSU rRNA". It matches the Rfam family "Bacterial small subunit ribosomal RNA", at positions 29 to 342 of the family's 1533-position model. The record is from RNAcentral.
AAUGAACGCUGGCGGCGCGCCUAAUACAUGCAAGUCGAGCGAGAAGACGUAGCAAUACGUUUGUAAAGCGGCGAACGGGUGAGGAAUACAUGGGUAACCUACCCUCGAGUGGGGAAUAACUAGCCGAAAGGUUAGCUAAUACCGCGUACGCUCCUUGGACUUCGGUUCAGGGAGGAAAGCGAUACCGUGGGUAUCGCGCUCUUGGUUGGCUCAUGUCCUAUCAGCUUGUUGGUGAGGAACGGCUCACCAAGGCUUCGACGGGUAGCUGGUCUGAGAGGACGAUCAGCCACACUGGCACUGCGACACGGGCCAGGACUCCUAC